RNAcentral lists this long non-coding RNA (621 nucleotides) under Gossypium raimondii (Peruvian cotton). RNAcentral describes it as "long non-coding RNA (GRAI_LNC000194)". Lineage: Eukaryota; Viridiplantae; Streptophyta; Magnoliopsida; Malvales; Malvaceae. The record is from RNAcentral.
AAACACUGAAACACAGUUCAAUCAAAAAAAGGAAAAAGAACAAAGAACAAAGAACAAAGAAGAUAACGGGAAAAAGAACAAAAAACAAAAAAGAGGAGGUAUGCCUGGAAAUGGAGCUCCCUGAGGGCCUGAGUACGCUGAAGAACAAAGAAGAUACGAUUAGCUAUGUGAACCAGACUAGAAAGAACCAGGAGAGGAAGAAUGGAAGGAAGAAAGCUUCAAAACAAUAAGAAAAUGGAACGGUUCGGAAGGAAAAGUUUUGAAAAAGGAAAUGGUCAAAUUGAAAAUGAAAUGACGGGAUUAUGGGAAGAAGAGAGGGCAGAUUUCAGCUGAUUGGGCAAGGAAUCGGUGCCUUUUUUUAGGAUUAUAUCUAGAUUUUUUUUACUUUAAAAAUAUUUAGAUUUUUUUACUUUGGGCCAUCUACUUUGGGCCUUUUUUAGAAUUUUUGUAAUUUUGUUCUAUUAAUAAAAGCCCAAUAUGAUGUUAUUAAAAAAAAGAAAAAUGAAGUCUAAAUAAACCGCAAAAAGCAAUCAAAGUCCAAAUAUUUAAAACUCUAAAAAUCAUAAAAAAUGAUUUUUUAUAAUUAUAUUUAUAAUUCUUAUGUUUUAUAAUAAGUUGUGC